CCUANGGGGGGCAGCAGUGAGGAAUAUUGCGCAAUGGACGAAAGUCUGACGCAGCGACGCCGCGUGGAGGAUGACGGUCUUCGGAUUGUAAACUCCUGUUAAGUGGGAAGAAAUAUCAGGCUCUAAUAUAGCCUGAGGAUGACGGUACCGCUAGAGAAAGCACCGGCUAACUUCGUGCCAGCAGCCGCGGUAAUACGAGGGGUGCAAACGUUAUUCGGAUUUAUUGGGUGUAAAGGGUGUGUAGACGGUAUAUUAAGUUUGUUGUUAAAUCCAUCGGCCUAACUGAUGGCUUGCAGUGAAAACUGAUAAACUAGAGAGUGGAAGAGAGAAGCGGAAUUCUCGGAGUAGCGGUAAAAUGCGUAGAUCUCGAGAGGAACACCGAUGGCGAAGGCAGCUUCUUGGUCCAUUUCUGACGUUGAUACACGAAAGCGUGGGGAGCAAACAGGAUUAGAUACCCGANUANUC
Molecule: ribosomal RNA, 465 nt
Filed under: uncultured bacterium
Lineage: Bacteria
Description: bacterial SSU rRNA
Rfam family: Bacterial small subunit ribosomal RNA
Source: RNAcentral